RNAcentral lists this ribosomal RNA (253 nucleotides) under uncultured bacterium. RNAcentral's name for it is "partial 16S ribosomal RNA". It matches the Rfam family "Bacterial small subunit ribosomal RNA", at positions 524 to 776 of the family's 1533-position model. The record is from RNAcentral.
UACGAAGGGUGCAAGCGUUACUCGGAAUUAUUGGGCGUAAAGCGUGCGUAGGUGGUUCGUUAAGUCUGAUGUGAAAGCCCUGGGCUCAACCUGGGAAUGGCAUUGGAAACUGGCGACCUAGAGUGCGGUAGAGGGUAGUGGAAUUCCCGGUGUAGCAGUGAAAUGCGUAGAGAUCGGGAGGAACAUCCGUGGCGAAGGCGACUCCCUGGACCAGCACUGACACUGAGGCACGAAAGCGUGGGGAGCAAACAGG